AGUGAACGCUGGCGGUAGGCCUAACACAUGCAAGUCGAACGGCAGCACAGGAGAGCUUGCUCUCUGGGUGGCGAGUGGCGGACGGGUGAGGAAUACAUCGGAAUCUACUCUGUCGUGGGGGAUAACGUAGGGAAACUUACGCUAAUACCGCAUACGACCUACGGGUGAAAGCAGGGGACCUUCGGGCCUUGCGCGAUUGAAUGAGCCGAUGUCGGAUUAGCUAGUUGGCGGUGUAAAGGCCCACCAAGGCGACGAUCCGUAGCUGGUCUGGGAGGAGGAGCAACCACGCUGGAACUGAGACGCGGUCCAGACUCCUACGGGAGUCAGGCGUGGGGAAUAUUGGACACUAGGCGGAAGCCUGAUCCAGCCAUACCGCGUGGGUGAAGAAGGACUUCGGGUUGUAAAGCCCUUUUGUUGGGAAAGAGAUCCAGCUGGCUAAUACCCGGUUGGGAUGACGGUACCCAAGGAAUAAGCACCGGCUAACUUCGUGCCAGCCGCCGCCGUAA
RNAcentral lists this ribosomal RNA (506 nucleotides) under uncultured bacterium. RNAcentral describes it as "partial 16S ribosomal RNA". It matches the Rfam family "Bacterial small subunit ribosomal RNA", at positions 29 to 523 of the family's 1533-position model. The record is from RNAcentral.